GGCGGGAUGAUGAGAAGAAUCAAACGAAUUCUCAUUAAUUGUUCAACAACAUGAGAUAAUAACCAGCUACGUUUGACUGCU
Molecule: non-coding RNA, 81 nt
Organism: Punica granatum (pomegranate)
Lineage: Eukaryota; Viridiplantae; Streptophyta; Magnoliopsida; Myrtales; Lythraceae
Source: Rfam